GGACGAACGCUGGCGGCGUGCUUAACACAUGCAAGUCGAACGAUGAUGCUCCAGCUUGCUGGGGUGGAUUAGUGGCGAACGGGUGAGUAACACGUGAGUAACCUGCCCUUCACUUUGGGAUAAGCCUUGGAAACGGGGUCUAAUACCGGGUAUGCACAUACUGUCGCAUGGUGGUGUGUGGAAAGCUUUUGUGGUGGAGGAUGGACUCGCGGCCUAUCAGCUUGAUGGUGGGGUAGUGGCCUACCAUGGCUUUGACGGGUAGCCGGCCUGAGAGGGUGACCGGCCACACUGGGACUGAGACACGGCCCAGACUCCUACGGGAGGCAGCAGUGGGGAAUAUUGCACAAUGGGCGGAAGCCUGAUGCAGCGACGCCGCGUGGGGGAUGAAGGCUUUCGGGUCGUAAACUCCUUUCAGCAGGGACGAAGCUUUUGUGACGGUACCUGCAGAAGAAGCACCGGCUAACUACGUGCCAGCAGCCGCGGUAAUACGUAGGGUGCGAGCGUUGUCCGGAAUUAUUGGGCGUAAAGAGCUUGUAGGCGGUUUGUCGCGUCUGCCGUGAAAGCCCAGGGCUUAACCCUGGGUCUGCGGUGGGUACGGGCAGACUAGAGUGUGGUAGGGGAGACUGGAAUUCCUGGUGUAGCGGUGAAAUGCGCAGAUAUCAGGAGGAACACCGAUGGCGAAGGCAGGUCUCUGGGCCACUACUGACGCUGAGAAGCGAAAGCAUGGGGAGCAAACAGGAUUAGAUACCCUGGUAGUCCAUGCCGU
RNAcentral lists this ribosomal RNA (766 nucleotides) under Dermacoccus sp. RNAcentral's name for it is "bacterial SSU rRNA". It matches the Rfam family "Bacterial small subunit ribosomal RNA", at positions 27 to 803 of the family's 1533-position model. Lineage: Bacteria; Bacillati; Actinomycetota; Actinomycetes; Micrococcales; Dermacoccaceae. The record is from RNAcentral.